Molecule: non-coding RNA, 209 nt
Filed under: Enterococcus canis
Lineage: Bacteria; Bacillati; Bacillota; Bacilli; Lactobacillales; Enterococcaceae
Description: T-box sequence
Rfam family: T-box leader
About the family: Uncharged tRNA acts as the effector for transcription antitermination of genes in the T-box leader family. T-boxes are found upstream of many aminoacyl-tRNA synthetase genes and some amino acid biosynthetic genes usually in Gram-positive bacteria. The anticodon of a specific tRNA base pairs to a specifier sequence within the T-box motif, and the NCCA acceptor tail of the tRNA base pairs to a conserved bulge in the T-box antiterminator hairpin.
Source: RNAcentral
CAAGAUUCAGUGAAAGAAAGAGUAGUUAUAGGGCGUGCUUAAGAGAGGACCUGCCGUGGCUGAAAGCAGGGACAUGUAUUCUUUAUAAUGAAAGACAUUCUGGAGAAGAGUGUGUGCAAAGCCACUCCGUUCACGAGCGUUAAUCGUAAAAGAGGGGAUUUUUUCCCAAUUUAGGUGGUACCGCGUGUGCAUUGUCGCUCGUCCUUUGU